AGACGCUUGGAAGAACUCUGAAACCAGGAGUUGCAAAAACAGAAGCAAAUACAACUAAGUUUCAGACAUGAAGAGGAGCAUCGGCGGCGUGAGGAAGAAAUGAUCUGACACAGAGAACAGAAGGAACUGAGGCCACAGCAAGAGGGCUUUAAGCCAAACUACAUGGAAAAUGUAAG
RNAcentral lists this long non-coding RNA (176 nucleotides) under Macaca mulatta (Rhesus monkey). RNAcentral describes it as "lncRNA (ENSMMUG00000054724.1)". Lineage: Eukaryota; Metazoa; Chordata; Mammalia; Primates; Cercopithecidae. The record is from RNAcentral.